Molecule: long non-coding RNA, 3230 nt
Filed under: Sus scrofa (pig)
Lineage: Eukaryota; Metazoa; Chordata; Mammalia; Artiodactyla; Suidae
Description: lncRNA (ENSSSCG00040014425.1)
Source: RNAcentral
CGCAUUUUUGAAUCUUUUAAGGCCUAUUCGAGUUGAAGUAACCAGUUAAUAAGUACUCUGGAAUUAAUCACAGCACCACCAGCUGGUUGCCCUUGAUUAAUGGUAGAUAUAUCUAGGAGUUCCCGCUGUGGCGCAGUGGUUAACGAAUCCGACUAGGAACCAUGAGAUUGCGGGUUCGAUCCCUGGCCUUGCUCAGUGGGUUAAGGAUCCAGCACUGCCGUGAGCUAUGGUGUAGGUUGCAGACACGGCUUGGAUCCCGCGUUGCUGUGGCUCAGGCGUAGGCCGGUGGCUACAGCUCCAAUUCGACCCCUAGCCUGGGAACCUCCAUAUGCAAUGGGAACAGCCCAAUAAAUGGCAAAAAGACCAAAAAAAAAAAAGAAAAAAAGUAGAUAUAUCUAGGAUCAUAAAGAAAUAAUGAUGAGCUCUUAUGCAAUUUUUCUAAACUCUCUUAGUUAACCCAUGAGUUUAAUUUUGAAAGAAAAAAAAAAAAGUUGUUGAAACCUGAGGUUGUUUCCAAGCAAGAUGGGAACAAACAAAAAACCACAGAGAAUUAUCUCCAGUAUAGGGACAUUUCUUGGGUAAUUUAAGGUUAUGAUGCAAAUGGUCUAUGUUUUCCUUUUCUGCAUUAAAAAACUCAUGUUCAUUCUCCUCUUGGAUUGCAACCAUAUCUUUGAGAAAUGAAAGGCGAAUGAAAAUAAAUUUUAUUUAACAAGUCUGCAUCAACAUUUAUGACAUGUGAGUUUUUGGUUUGGAGAAGAGUACCAAACUGCCAAAAGGAUUAAAAAUUGUAUAUAAAAGGAAUUUUUUUUUUGCCAGUAGCUUCUAAAUUGAAUAAACUGAAAAUUUUUCAUACCCAGGAUCUAAGGAAUCUGAUUUAGUUUUUUAAUUGAGAAUAUUUACCUUCAAAAGUUGAAAAACAAACAUCAAAGCAAUGGGAAAGAGGUGGGUCAGUCAAUAAAUAGACUUAAGGCAACUGAAUUCCAUUUGGAAAAAAUACAAAUUUAAAUCCAUACUUCACAAUUAAUACCAAAAUUAAUUCUAUGUGGAUUAAACCUUUAAACAUAAUAUAUGAGAUUACCAAAACAAUGUGGGAGUUUUUGGUUCUGUUUGGUUUGCUUUCUUCAUAAUCUCAGAGCAGAAAAGGCCUCUCAAAGCAGAAGGGUUUUGGAUUCAAGCUACAAAAUCUAAAUGCUAUAAUUGAAAAGAGAUUUGACUAUAGAUAACUUUUAAAACAUCUGAACAACAAAAAAUCCAAUAAAGGCAAAUGGCAAAAGCAAUCGAUAACAGCACAAAUGACAGACAAGUUCUGAUUUUUCUAUUAUGUACAGAGCCCUCCUAUACUCAAAAGAAAAAGACCAUUAGGAAAAUACUCAGAAGGCAGGCAGAGGAGAAACCCAGGUAGCCUUAGAAAUACCUGCAAAUUAGAAAAGGCAAAGAAGAUUCCAUAUUUCACCUGUCAGUUUUCUCAGCUGUGUUGAAGAACAGGUCUGCCAGGAGAAAAGGACAUGGGUACUAGGUCAUUUAGGGUGUUACUUGAAACAAGCUCCUUAGAAGGCAAUUUUACAAUGUCUGAAUAUCUUAGGUGCACAUCUCUUUUGAUCUAGCUAUUGUAUUCCAGGAAUUUAUCUUACAAAUACUCUGUAGAGCAUAUACAAACAUGUAUUUGCCAGGAUAUUGACUGCAGCAUUGUUGAUUAUAACAAAAAACUGGAAAUUGGCCACUAGUCAACUUUAUGGUCUCUGAUGGAAUACUACGCAGCAAGUAAAAAGCAUGGGAUCCAUGUAUAAGCUGGUGCACUGAAAUAUCCAAUUACUUAAGGAGGAAGAAAAAGGCAACAGAAAAGGAUAAAGUGCUCUACAAAUUUGCAUUUUAAAAUAUGUAUGAAUAUGUAUGCAUUUGUAGGAAGAUUUCUGGAAGAAUAUUGAGAUGGUAGUUAUGUCUGAAAAAUAGAACAGGGAUUGCAUAGGAGACAGAUUCAUUUUCAGAAAUCCCUUUUUGUCAGAUGCAGGUGCCAUUUUCAGAAUUAAAUAAGCAACAUCUUUUGAUCCAUUUCAGGAAUAUUGGACCAUUCCCUCAUUUUAGACUUCAGCCACCCUUAUGUAAUUUGGGGGUUUGUCUUUGGAAAAUCUAUACAGAGGCUCAAGUAAACCGCUGCUCUGCUGAGGUGAGUGGUCACCAUCUGGUCAAGAAUAGGAGUCAGGCGCCUCCCUUUUCAAAACCCUUAGCUUUCCCACCCACACAUCUGGCAUCCAGAACAUGUGGGGCCCUUUCCCUUAGAGCACAGAAUCCUUCGUGACCCAAGCUCUCGGAGAAGAUUGAUGCUGCUCUGCUGGAGAACCAGAGUGGAAGGUGCUGCCCAUCAUGUUUCUUAUGAUACAUUUCCGGUAGAAUUCGGUCCAGGAAUUUCUCUUUUCAUUUUUUGUUGAAGUUGGACAGUGAUGUUCCAGAAUUGACUGUCUUUACCACCUGGCUUCCCUUGACUGAAAUCUUAGCAUCAAAAUCAGUGUUCAUAGGUGGGUGUUCAAUAACUCUUCCAAUGAUCUGCUUGUGACCAAGGUAUUUAUUGAAAAUCUUCUGGGGGAGGAACCAUGGUAUCAAUGUAAAUUGUAAAGAAAUGAACAGGCUUAAUGCCACGCUGAUAAGAGCAUCUUCUGUCAUGUAAGUGAGAUGAAACCUUUAAGGUAUGUUUUUCUUCUAGGAAAGAUGGUAUCUUCUAUGUAAUAUUCUUGCCAAAGAUAAUUUAAUUUGAAUCUAAUCAUGAGAGAGCAAUCGGACAAAUCCAGAAUGUGACUUAUUCUAGUCAAUUAUUUUUAAAAACCUCAAUGGCAAGAAAAACAACCAACAAAAAGUGGUUGCUCCAAAUUAAAAGUCUCUUGAGCUAUAACCAAAUGUAUCAAGUAAUAUUAUUACCCAAAUAUUGGAUUCUGCAUUAAAAAAAAAACAGUAAUUGGGACAAUUGAGAAAAUUAAAUAUGAACUACAUAUUAAAUAAAAUUGGUAUUAAUUUUUUCCAAGUAUGUUAAUGUUUAUGGCCUUAUUAUUAGGAAAUGCAUGUUAAAAUAUUUAGAAAUAAAGCAUUUUGGUGUUUGCAACUUAUUUUCAAAGGGCUCAGGAAAAACAGCCAGAAAGCUAAAGCAAAUGUAAGAGAAUAUUGACAAUUCAUAAAUCCAGGCGAAGGAUAUAUGGGUGUAAAGUGUAUUCUUUCAGCGCUCCUAAGAAAGUUUGAAAUUU